UUCGAUUAGAGUUUGAUCACUGGCUCAGGACGAACGCUGGCGGCGUGCUUAACACAUGCAAGUCGAGCGGAAAGGCCCUUCGGGGUACUCGAGCGGCGAACGGGUGAGUAACACGUGAGCAACCUGCCCCAAGCUUUGGGAUAACCCUCGGAAACGGGGGCUAAUACCGAAUAUUACUUCUGGCCGCAUGGCUGGUGGUGGAAAGUUUUUCGGCUUGGGAUGGGCUCGCGGCCUAUCAGCUUGUUGGUGGGGUGAUGGCCUACCAAGGCGAUGACGGGUAGCCGGCCUGAGAGGGCGACCGGCCACACUGGGACUGAGACACGGCCCAGACUCCUACGGGAGGCAGCAGUGGGGAAUAUUGCACAAUGGGCGGAAGCCUGAUGCAGCGACGCCGCGUGAGGGAUGACGGCCUUCGGGUUGUAAACCUCUUUCAGCAGGGACGAAGCGAGAGUGACGGUACCUGCAGAAGAAGCACCGGCCAACUACGUGCCAGCAGCCGCGGUAAGACGUAGGGUGCGAGCGUUGUCCGGAUUUAUUGGGCGUAAAGAGCUCGUAGGCGGCUUGUCGCGUCGACCGUGAAAACUUGGGGCUCAACUCCAAGCCUGCGGUCGAUACGGGCAGGCUAGAGUUCGGUAGGGGAGACUGGAACUCCUGGUGUAGCGGUGAAAUGCGCAGAUAUCAGGAGGAACACCGGUGGCGAAGGCGGGUCUCUGGGCCGAUACUGACGCUGAGGAGCGAAAGCGUGGGGAGCGAACAGGAUUAGAUACCCUGGUAGUCCACGCUGUAAACGUUGGGCGCUAGGUGUGGGGGACCUCUCCGGUUUCCUGUGCCGCAGCUAACGCAUUAAGCGCC
This 852-nucleotide ribosomal RNA is filed under the name uncultured Micromonospora sp. Its description in RNAcentral is "bacterial SSU rRNA". It matches the Rfam family "Bacterial small subunit ribosomal RNA", at positions 1 to 868 of the family's 1533-position model. Lineage: Bacteria; Bacillati; Actinomycetota; Actinomycetes; Micromonosporales; Micromonosporaceae. The record is from RNAcentral.